This 71-nucleotide transfer RNA is filed under the name Phrynosoma platyrhinos (Desert horned lizard). Its description in RNAcentral is "tRNA-OTHER". The record is from RNAcentral. Lineage: Eukaryota; Metazoa; Chordata; Lepidosauria; Squamata; Phrynosomatidae.
GCCAACCUGGGUUAGUGAUUUGAGUGCUGGACUAUGACUCUGGAGACCAGGGUUCAAUUCCCAGCUUGGCC